CGUACGGGACGAACGGCUGGCGGCGUGCCUAAUACAUGCAAGUCGAACGGUCUUUCUAUGGAAGCUUGCUUCCACUGAGAAGAUAGUGGCGAACGGGUGAGUAACACGUGGGUAACCUGCCCAUAAGAGGGGGAUAACAUCCGGAAACGGGUGCUAAUACCGCAUAGUUUUCUUGAUCGCAUGAUCGGGAAAGGAAAGACGGCCUUUGUGCUGUCGCUUAUGGAUGGACCCGCGGCGUAUUAGUUAGUUGGUGAGGUAACGGCUCACCAAGACGAUGAUACGUAGCCGACCUGAGAGGGUGAUCGGCCACAUUGGGACUGAGACACGGCCCAAACUCCUACGGGAGGCAGCAGUAGGGAAUCUUCCGCAAUGGACGAAAGUCUGACGGAGCAACGCCGCGUGAGUGAAGAAAAGGUUUUCGGAUCGUAAAACUCUGUUGUCAGAGAAGAACAAGUUGGAGAGUAACUGCUCCAGCCUUGACGGUAUCUGACCAGAAAGCCACGGCUAACUACGUGCCAGCCGCAGC
This 526-nucleotide ribosomal RNA is filed under the name uncultured bacterium. RNAcentral's name for it is "bacterial SSU rRNA". It matches the Rfam family "Bacterial small subunit ribosomal RNA", at positions 35 to 518 of the family's 1533-position model. The record is from RNAcentral.